UACGGAGGGAGCUAGCGUUAUUCGGAAUUACUGGGCGUAAAGCGCGCGCAGGCGGUUCUUCAAGUCAGAGGUGAAAGCCCAGAGCUCAACUCUGGAAUGGCCUUUGAGACUAGAGAACUAGGGUACGGGAGAGGUGAGUGGAAUUCCGAGUGUAGAGGUGAAAUUCGUAGAUAUUCGGAAGAACACCAGUGGCGAAGGCGGCUCACUGGCCCGUUACCGACGCUCAGGCGCGACAGCGUGGGGAGCAAACAGG
Molecule: ribosomal RNA, 253 nt
Filed under: uncultured bacterium
Lineage: Bacteria
Description: partial 16S ribosomal RNA
Rfam family: Bacterial small subunit ribosomal RNA
Source: RNAcentral